This is a ribosomal RNA of Dendrobium catenatum, 119 nucleotides long. The record is from RefSeq and is a predicted model, not a curated record. NCBI's taxonomy places the organism in Eukaryota, Viridiplantae, Streptophyta, Magnoliopsida, Asparagales, Orchidaceae.
CGGUGCAACCAUACCAGCACUAGUGCUCCGUAUCCCAUAAGAACUCCGCAGUUAAGCGUGCUUGGGCGAGAGUAGUACUGGGAUGGGUGACCUCCUAAAAAGUUCUCGUGUUGCACCCU